Molecule: RNA transcript, 2438 nt
Organism: Prunus persica (peach)
Lineage: Eukaryota; Viridiplantae; Streptophyta; Magnoliopsida; Rosales; Rosaceae
Exons: 5
Source: RefSeq, a predicted model, not a curated record
CACAGUUUUAAAACCCGCAGCAUCGCACGCACUCCUUUACUAUUUGAAAUCACCGUUCCGCCCACCCAAACAGAGCUACGCUCGAUGAAAUGAAAGCAGGCGCCUCUCUGAAUUCUGGAAAUGUGAAGAACCACCGGCACAAAAUACACACCUGACAUUAAAAUGUUUCAUUUUAUCUUCAAAACCUCUCUCCAUCUUCAACAAACCAGAACCCUGAAUGCCAAUAUCAGAUCCCUCACCACUCUCAGCAUUUGUGACUACCCAGCACUCACAGACUAUCUCACAAACACUUUGGCUUUCACCCCAGAGUCAGCUUCUCAAGUCUCCAAGAAAAUCCAUGGUAGACCCCCCAACAAUCCCUACCCAGUCCACUCCCUCUUCGAACAUUACGGUUUUACCCCUACCCACAUAGCCAAAAUCAUCACCAUAUGCCCAUCCUUCCUCUGGGCAAACCCAGAAAAAACCCUCAAGCCCAAGCUAGACUUUCUCGCCCAAAAUGGCAUUUAUGGUCAAGACCUUGUAAUCACAAUCACCAACAACCCCAGAAUUCUAGAGCGGAGUUUGAACAAACAGAUUGCGCCCUGUAUUGGGUUCCUCAAGAGCUUUCUUGGGUCUGCCUCGGCUUUGUUGUCGCACUUUUCGGUCAAGCGUGGUACUGCGGUUGUGCUCAGAUUUUCUGACUCUAUGGGCGCGAACGCUGAGACUCUAAGACAACACGGUGUGCCUCACAGUAACAUUAUGAAGAUGAUCGCGUGCCAGCCAGGGAUAUUUUCAAGGGAUGUUGAGGUUUUCAGUAAGAUUGUGAGGGAGGUUGAGGAACUGGGUUUCAAUCCGUUGAGCAUGAUGUUCAUCUAUGGCGUGUGUACGCUUUUUUCGAUGACGAAGGACAAGUGGGUUUCAAAAUUUGAGGUGUUGAAGAGUUUUGGGUGGUCGGAGGCGGAGUUUCAGGCUUUGUUCUUGAAGCAACCCCUAGUAAUGAGGUCGUCGGAGGAGCGAUUAAAGAGGGCAUUGGACUUUUUCAUGAACAAGAUGGGGUGGGGCACUUCGGACAUUCUCAAGUACCCAGUUUUGCUUUGCUUGAGCUUUGAAAAGAGGGUGUUGCCAAGGUGGUCGAUACUUCAAGUUUUGAUUGCCAAAGGUGUUAUAACCAAGAGCAAGAAGACUACUGCGAAGGCAUUUAUGCAAACUGAGGACAAGUUUGUGAGCGAGUUUGUGAAGGGAUAUGAAGAGCAUGCCCCUGAACUUUUGGAGAUGUACCAAAAAAAGCUCCGAGGUUUAUGAUAUGUGACUCUGUUUCCUUGCAAUGAGGGUGUAUAUUGAGGAAAAGGCAUGAGAACUACUAGCACUUUUAGAUAUGAUUUAUUGGAUGAUGGAUUGAAAUUGAGGAUGAGAUGACAUGAAGCUACUAGGCCUGGCAACUUAUCAGUGAUGGAAAUCAGGAAGGAACAUGUAAUGAGAAAUUGGGGUUGUGACUAAAUGUGAUGGUAGAAGAACGAGUGAUGCUUUUCUUAUGGGACAAAGCCAGAUUCUGGGCCUCGCUCCAGGCUUCUUCUGAGUUCCCAGGCUUCCCUUUCUUCCCUCUGACUUUGGAUUGGGAAGCAGCUAGUUCUUAUGGUUUGGGUCUGUUUUCAGUGUGGCUGUUCUGCUGUUUUGUUGUUUUUUUGUGGCCUUUUGUAGUUUGAUGGUUGUUUUUUAAUGGACAGCUUGUUCACUUAUAUUGUACUUCCCCCUUUCGUUCUUGUUCAAUUUUUCUGUUAAUGUGGAUCAUUUCUUCUGUAUAUAGCUACAUUAUUGCCUUAUUACUAAGUUUCCCCUAACAUUCUUUCCUCCUUUUAGGGUAGGUUGGAUGGCUGGUGUGGUCCUGAGAUUGGUCAUCAAGGAGUUUGAAGGUUUUUCAUGGACCAAUUGCUUCUCAGUUCCCACUGUAUUUGUUGUGUCAAAAGAACGUGAUGGUCACUGUAUUUGUUUGAAGGUUUUUGUAUGUGAAGGAGUUCUUUUUAAAUCCGCAUGUUUUUAUGCAGUUGGUUUCGACCUGAACAACAAAUCAACGAUGAGCAGCUGGCCUACUUCUCCAUUCAUGACAGGUCUUUCCUUUCAAGGAGGUUUCAAGUUUUGGGAGUCGAGGAGAUUUCAUGUAGAUGUUAUUGGAUCUUCAAAAGUCUUUUGAUUUGGAUACCAAAAGUAGAGAAAAUAUUGACAAUCAUAAUCUGAUUGAAAGGAGUUGUCUGGCUAAUCCAUGAUAUUGCCCUUGGGGGGUUUGUAGGACACAUCUUUUUGUUCUAGGCAGAUGUUGAUGCUGAUGGACCCAAUGGAAUGAUUCGACCUUUGAGGGGCCGAAAGAAUGGGAUUGGUGAAACACUUUCCUAUCAAUUUACUCUUUCCCUCUGUAGUCUAAUGGAACUGGCAGAAAAAUAAAUCCAUAUUCCUAUACCUUCCAA